CGCAAACUUUUUUUUCGAUAUGAACUCUAAAAAAAAAUAACGCUGUUAUCCCUAAGGUAAUUUAAUCUUAUAAUCAUAAAAUAUGGAUCAUCUAUUCAUAUAUCAAUGUUUUAAUAUAAAAAAAGUUAUAUUAAUUUUUUAGUUGCCCCAACUAAAUAUUUAUAUAAAUACCUAAAUCUAGAAUACUAAAACUUUCAAAUAUUUAUAUAAAUAUAAAAUUCUAUAGGGUCUUCUCGUCUUUUAAAAUUAUUUAAGCUUUUUUACUUAAAAAUAAAAUUCUAAUUUAAAUUAAAUUGAGACAGUCCCUCUCUCGUCAAACCUUUCAUACCAGUUCUCAAUUAAAAAACUAAUUAUUAUGCUACCUUUGCACGGUCAAAAUACCGCGGCCAUUUAAAAAUAUUAUUCAUAGGGCAGGUCAGACUUUAUAUUAUAAUCAAAAAGACAU
This 445-nucleotide ribosomal RNA is filed under the name Scarabaeus rubripennis. RNAcentral describes it as "partial 16S ribosomal RNA". The record is from RNAcentral. Lineage: Eukaryota; Metazoa; Arthropoda; Insecta; Coleoptera; Scarabaeidae.